RNAcentral lists this transfer RNA (78 nucleotides) under Colletotrichum fructicola Nara gc5. RNAcentral's name for it is "tRNA-Thr for anticodon UGU". It matches the Rfam family "tRNA". From Rfam's summary of the family: Transfer RNA (tRNA) molecules are approximately 80 nucleotides in length. Their secondary structure includes four short double-helical elements and three loops (D, anti-codon, and T loops). The record is from RNAcentral. Lineage: Eukaryota; Fungi; Ascomycota; Sordariomycetes; Glomerellales; Glomerellaceae.
UCCCCGAUGGCACAAUUGGAAUUGGCUAGCGCGUCAGACUGUUACUGGAGGUUGGUGGUUCGAGCCCACCUCGGGGAG